GACGAACGCUGGCGGCGUGCUUAACACAUGCAAGUCGAACGGAAAGGCCCUGCUUUUGUGGGGUGCUCGAGUGGCGAACGGGUGAGUAACACGUGAGUAACCUGCCCUUGACUUUGGGAUAACUUCAGGAAACUGGGGCUAAUACCGGAUAGGAGCUCCUGCUGCAUGGUGGGGGUUGGAAAGUUUCGGCGGUUGGGGGUGGACUCGCGGCUUAUCAGCUUGUUGGUGGGGUAGUGGCUUACCAAGGCUUUGACGGGUAGCCGGCCUGAGAGGGUGACCGGCAACAUGGGGACGGAGAUACGGCCAAGACUCCUACGGGAGGCGAGAGUGGGGAAUAUUGCACAAUGGGCGGAAGCCGGAUGCAGCAACGCCGCGUGCGGGAUGACGGCCUUCGGGUUGUAAACCGCUUUCGCCUGUGACGAAGCGUGAGUGACGGAAAUGGGUAAAGAAGCACCGGCUAACUAGGU
This 467-nucleotide ribosomal RNA is filed under the name uncultured bacterium. RNAcentral's name for it is "partial 16S ribosomal RNA". It matches the Rfam family "Bacterial small subunit ribosomal RNA", at positions 28 to 506 of the family's 1533-position model. The record is from RNAcentral.